This 3804-nucleotide ribosomal RNA is filed under the name Triticum aestivum (bread wheat). RNAcentral's name for it is "partial small subunit ribosomal RNA". Lineage: Eukaryota; Viridiplantae; Streptophyta; Magnoliopsida; Poales; Poaceae. The record is from RNAcentral.
CACUGUAUAUAUACCCCAUGACAUCCUAACAAUAAAACUAUUUAUAUUCGGACUAAAUUGGCUUUAAGUCAUCUAGUUAAUCAAAUAGUACAGCCCACCUGACCAACUUUUACUAACUGUAUAGAUCGGACUAAGGAAAGCACUAACUCCACAAAUGGCCGUCUAUAUUACUAAACAUCGAUUACACCAAUACAACAAUAUAAAAUGUAAAGAUCAUGAAACCAAGUGAACAUCUCACGAACACGUCCUUUUCUAUAUCAUACCUAUUCUCAACCUACUCCAACGGACUAUCCAAAAGUUCACUAAUGUAAAGUCCCCACUUACGUAAGUAACUAAAACGAACAGUUGUAUUGUUGCCGUUACUAUUCUACGCAACGGGAACACUUUGAACAUACUUAUAUUCAGUCGUCUCACAGUCAGUUCAAGCUUGGGUAAACAAUAACAUACCAUAUGUUUGAAGUAUGUGUUUUACCUAUAAGGUACCUCUUGUUCAAUCGUUACUACUUCUGGUUCAACUACUCAGUGAACUUUUACUCCUUCUAGAACUACUAAAACUACCUAAACUAUACCAGGUUCUAGACGAUCCUCUAUAGGUAUCUCGGUGCCAACCCCAACUGCUCGUUCUCUUGGUAUUAGGACGACCUCCAUCGUAAGGCCUCGGGUUACUCAGUAGCUGGUCUAAACUGCCGAACGACUCUUCACGUGUUGCACUCGAUAUGGGCCCGACGUUUCCGGUGAGCCACGAUAGGAAACAAAAUUUCGACCAUGUGGAGUUUCUAGAAUUGGUAACCUCGUUGUUUAGAAAACUGUACAAUGAGUUCGAAGUUUUCCUCCGAAACGGUCGACCAUUGAGCGAAGGUCGGUGCAUGAUACUUCGUUUCUUCUACAACUCUCUAGAUCCCGAUCCAAUACUUUCAUAACUACGAACGUUUUUACUAACACAAGAUAAGACCUUCCUCGUACUCCUGUUCCUACUCACGGGUCAAACAUUCCUUAGCUCCACCUUCUGUGUCUUCCCGUUCCCCUUCGUUCAUGGAGUCUUUCACAACACGAUGAAAGGGAAUUAGGGAUCUAAUGUUACCGACAAGUACUUGUUCCUUUAUCGAAGUCUAAACGCAAUAGUAUCCCUAUUCUCUCAACAGCUUGGUUUACACAACUGCCCAGGAGGCCUACCGCUACGAACCUUUGUAUACCUAUUCUUUAUAGGGACCGACCUUCUUCUGGGAGCGGUAAACGCCGAGCCCCAACCGUGGCUACCAAAGUUGGGUAAACCUUAAUACUCAUCGAGUAUAUCACACACCGGACAGUAACAUCAACACAUAUUGAACGGAGGUACCUCUUCGUACUUUCUCGGGAAGGACGAGUACUGUAAUAACUAGGGACCCUUCUUCAGUGGCCCUUCCCUGUAACUACACAUAAACUCCGGUAACCAACUUCUUGAUUUCGUUAAUAAAUUAGGUCCUCAACAAUGAAAACUGCGACAACUUCCUCCAUGAAAGUUAUACGCACGUUAUAACGAUACCUGAUAGGUGCUGGAAGGUCGUGAUCCAAGUCAUAAACCCAUAAGAUGUUACCCGAUGUUCCGUACGGGGACAAACGGAUCUACCUUGGAUAAGCGUUGGUGAAGCUUCGUUUUAACCAAAGAAUCCGGUAUCCUCCAUGAACGGAUAAGCGGUAUCCACCGCGUUUUCAUUCCGGAAGUUACCAUUCUUACUCUUUCGCAACGGUGGUUUUGUUGAUAGACCCUUUCUGUAAAAACUUAACAACGUCUUCAAUCUAGUAGAGGUCCCGAAGUUUAUGCCUUUUGUGGGACCUUUAUUCUUUUCUUUCCGUAGAAGUUUCCUGUACGGUCCCUUUUUAAAGUGUUUCUACUCGUAGAACAAACUCGAUGGUAUAACCUUCCUAUACUUUAACGGUGUGUUAGAACUACAGUACGUGUAACUUUUCUUGUAAACACUCUCGAAUAAGCCCUGAAAUAAUUUGUAUCUACCGUUCAGGUUCCUGUGUGAAUUCCGGGCGUUCCUGAAUCUUCUGUACUUAUAGUCUCUUCUAGAUGUGAACUUACUAUGCUCUUCAUCGCAUCUUUUCGUAGUACGUACCAUGUGUAAUUGGUCUCUACUCUUUGAACUCAAAGACGUUAAGGAUCUUAGAUAAACGAAGGGUCUACCUAAACGACGUUUAUAUAGUUUUCCAUAUUCAUUUCUACCCUUUUAUUGACCCAACUUCUGUGUGCUGAUGGUAUAAGAAGAAGUCUCUUAUGAGGGCUAACCUUACGCUCCUAAAGACGUGUUUCUAUAUACACUACGUGAAGACGUCGAACCAUCAAAAAAAGCGGUUAAUACGAGGUUCUGUAACUUCGACCUAUAGAACCUAUUCAACCUUGUUGUUUAUCAUUAACACAACACGUUUGAUCUUUACUAAGAGGGUGGACGUAAGAAACUAUAGUCGCACGUGAAUCGUCACGUAGAUGGUGUUGUUCGUUCCGAACCUCCAGGACAUGUUAUGUCUACCUACAAGAAGCAACUUUCCAAGGAACCAUGAAACUUUCCGUACCACUCGUUAUCCCGUGUGGGUCUCCCAAGUUAACGACUUCGAACACAAUACUUCCUCACGAGUUGUAAGACGAGGUACAUAGAUGUACCUUAACUCUGUUCCAAGUUAUCUGUUCUCGCCUUGAAACUACCCCUCUCUGUUGGUGAACUAGCAAAGAGCCAUAAGAGUUGAUCAAAGGCACGAAAACCGGUAUCCCUACUGGAAUACAAUUGUGUUCUAGUCAUACUAAGAAACAGAACCAUACACGAUUUAUUAACACUCCUUGAUGUUCUUAUGGAUAUACUCGUACUCCUACGGGAUGACCAACUUCCACGUCUAUUAUAACUUUUAUCCGUUGCACUUGUCAAACCAAGUACCGACGCGGUUUCUCACUAGUUAGACGCGUUGGUUCCUCGUAGGGAUCACAGACUGACAAACAUACGUAACCGUUAACCUGGCGUAUUCUCUCAUGUGUCUAAGAGUCCUACGUAACGACCACCACAAUCUAAGAACUGUUUCCUCGCACUUCUCCCAGCAUUUUCAGUCUUGUCACCACAUACGUGUCUCCCUGUUGUAUUCCCCGUUUUAUAGUGUAUAAUACCAUAAGAAUUUUUAUAUAUACAGGACCUAAUGGGGUUACUAGCUGUACAACGAAAUAAACUCACACUUACCAUACUAAAUCUCUCAUUGUUCGGACACUCCUAGCUACUGCUGAAACAAUCACAAUUAUGUCCUUCGUUCACCAUGGUUUUACUGAGGAAACAUGAUCGAUCAGUUCACUCGGUUCAGAAGACACAUGCACUAUGUUUUAACUUCCCUCUAACCGAUCAACACGUCUUCCGAGGCGUAGCGGUAGAAAAACUAGGUCUCCAAACCUUAGUUCAGUUACUUCUACUACGAUCGCUACUAUAACGUAAAGUUCUCCUCCUUCGAUGGUUACAAAGGUAUCUACUUUGAAAACUUCCGUUAUAGAGCACAGCUGUACUACAACGUGGUCUUUAACAAUGACUAGGUUUUCUCAACCGUAGAAACUUCCUCUCGGUACAGAGAGUCCUAUUAAGACUUCUCCUUGGUCUCAUCAUCUUAUUAAUACACAACAUAGCCCAAUAUACAGAGUAUAAAGUCCAAUACAAUCUGAUGUACACAGGGCACAGUCCAAUAUAAUCUUAUUACCACAAGAUAAAGUCACAUAUAGUCUGAUAUACAUAGGACAAAGUCCAAUAUAGUCUGAUAUACAUAGAACAAAAUCCAAUAUAAUCUGAUAUAUACAGG